AUUGAACGCUGGCGGCAUGCUUUACACAUGCAAGUCGGACGAGUGGCGAACGGGUGAGUAAUAUAUCGGAACGUACCGAGUAAUGGGGGAUAACUAAUCGAAAGAUUAGCUAAUACCGCAUAUUAUUCGAGCGGCCGAUAUCUGAUUAGCUAGUUGGUGGGGUAAAGGCCUACCAAGGCGACGAUCAGUAGCGGGGCUGCGAGGAUGAUUCGCCACCCUGGGACCUAGAAACGGCCCAGACUCCUACGGGAGGGAGCCGUUGGGAAUUUUUGGCAAUGGGCGCAAGCCUGAACCAGCCCUUGCGCGUGUCCGAAAGAGGCCUUCGGGUUUUAAAAGGAUUUUUUUAAGGAAACGGUACCUGAAGAAUAAGCACCGGCUAACUACGUGCCAGCAGCCGCGGUAAUAC
Molecule: ribosomal RNA, 406 nt
Filed under: uncultured bacterium
Lineage: Bacteria
Description: partial 16S ribosomal RNA
Rfam family: Bacterial small subunit ribosomal RNA
Source: RNAcentral